Molecule: small RNA, 68 nt
Filed under: Alteribacillus iranensis
Lineage: Bacteria; Bacillati; Bacillota; Bacilli; Caryophanales; Bacillaceae
Description: Bacillus sp. X5B(2010) Bacillaceae-1 RNA
Rfam family: Bacillaceae-1 RNA
Source: Rfam by way of RNAcentral
AGGUAUGGAUCUUUUGCUAACUUCGCAAACGUCCUGUUUGCAACGCAAAAGUCAACGCAUCCUGCGUA